CAGGGAGGGUAGGGAAGGUUUUAA
RNAcentral lists this non-coding RNA (24 nucleotides) under Cricetulus griseus (Chinese hamster). The record is from RNAcentral. Lineage: Eukaryota; Metazoa; Chordata; Mammalia; Rodentia; Cricetidae.